RNAcentral lists this ribosomal RNA (253 nucleotides) under uncultured bacterium. Its description in RNAcentral is "partial 16S ribosomal RNA". It matches the Rfam family "Bacterial small subunit ribosomal RNA", at positions 524 to 776 of the family's 1533-position model. The record is from RNAcentral.
UACGGAGGAUGCAAGCGUUAUCCGGAAUGAUUGGGCGUAAAGCGUCCGCAGGUGGCUGUGUAAGUCUGCUGUUAAAGAGCAAAGCUCAACUUUGUAAGAGCAGUGGAAACUACACGGCUAGAGUGCGUUCGGGGCAGAGGGAAUUCCUGGUGUAGCGGUGAAAUGCGUAGAGAUCAGGAAGAACACCGGUGGCGAAGGCGCUCUGCUAGGCCGCAACUGACACUGAGGGACGAAAGCUAGGGGAGCGAAUGGG